Molecule: ribosomal RNA, 633 nt
Filed under: Kretzschmaria pavimentosa
Lineage: Eukaryota; Fungi; Ascomycota; Sordariomycetes; Xylariales; Xylariaceae
Description: eukaryotic LSU rRNA
Rfam family: 5.8S ribosomal RNA (bases 244-397)
Source: RNAcentral
CUUGGUCAUUUAGAGGAAGUAAAAGUCGUAACAAGGUCUCCGUUGGUGAACCAGCGGAGGGAUCAUUACAGAGUUUACGAUAAAAACUCCCAAACCCCUUGUGAACCUACUUUUUUUGUUUGUUGCCUCGGCAGGCACUGAGGGCCUCCCGUUAAGGGAGGUCAGCCUGGCCUGCCGGCGGUCUACGACACGAAUUUUGCUUAGCACGUGGUUAUUCUGAUCAGUUAAGACAUAAUAUCUUAAAACUUUCAACAACGGAUCUCUUGGUUCUGGCAUCGAUGAAGAACGCAGCGAAAUGCGAUAAGUAAUGUGAAUUGCAGAAUUCAGUGAAUCAUCGAAUCUUUGAACGCACAUUGCGCCCAUUAGUAUUCUAGUGGGCAUGCCUGUUCGAGCGUCAUUUCAACCCUUAAGCCCCCGUCGCUUAGUGUUGGGAGCCUAUAAGUCCUUUUGGGCCUAUAGCUCCCCAAAGUCAGUGGCAGAGUCGGUUCACACUCUAGGCGUAGUAAAAUUAUUUCUUUCCUCGCCUGACGUAUGAGCUGGUCCCUCGCCGUAAAACAAUAUACAUAUCAAAAAGGUUGACCUCGGAUCAGGUAAGAAUACCCGCUGAACUUAAGCAUAUCAAUAAGCGGAGGA